This 496-nucleotide ribosomal RNA is filed under the name uncultured bacterium. RNAcentral's name for it is "partial 16S ribosomal RNA". It matches the Rfam family "Bacterial small subunit ribosomal RNA", at positions 28 to 507 of the family's 1533-position model. The record is from RNAcentral.
GAUGAACGCUGGCGGCAUGCCUAAUACAUGCAAGUCGAGCGAACAGACGAGGAGCUUGCUCCUCUGACGUUAGCGGCGGACGGGUGAGUAACACGUGGAUAACCUACCUAUAAGACUGGGAUAACUUCGGGAAACCGGAGCUUAUACCGGAUAAUAUAUUGAACCGCAUGGUUCAAUAGUGAAAUACGGUUUUGCUGUUACUUAUAGAUGGAUCCGCGCCGCAUUAGCUAGUUGGUAGGUAACGGCUUACCAAGGCAACGAUGCGUAGCCGACCUGAGAGGGUGACCGGCCACACUGGAACUGAGCCACGGUCCAGACUCCUACGGGAGGCAGCAGUAGGGAAUCUUCCGCAAUGGGCGAAAGCUUGACGGAGCAACGCCGCGUGAGUGAUGAAGGUCUUCGGAUCGUAAAACUCUGUUAUUAGGGAAGAACAGAUGUGUAAGUAACUAUGCACGUCUUGACGGUACCUAAUCAGAAAGCCACGGCUAACUACGUG